RNAcentral lists this long non-coding RNA (1500 nucleotides) under Citrus sinensis (sweet orange). RNAcentral describes it as "long non-coding RNA (CSIN_LNC004124)". Lineage: Eukaryota; Viridiplantae; Streptophyta; Magnoliopsida; Sapindales; Rutaceae. The record is from RNAcentral.
AAACAUUCUGGUCAAUAGUAUUUCACAGAUGUUGGAAGCAACUUCAAGAUAAAUUCAGAAUGAGGUAGAAUAAUGAUCACAUAACUAAUGCAUAUCAAAAACUAAACUUGGCAAGUCAGCUCUACUUCAUGCUUGCCAGAACAUUUUCAUUUUAAGCAAAAUCCGUGCACACAGAAAACGUAGUAAAAACGAGAAGAAGUACGUACAUCAAUAACAUAGAAAAUGACAUAAGGCAGUUGUAUUAUCUGUAUAACAGAAAAGAAAAUGUCCAAAUUGCAUUCAAUUUAUCACAGCAAUUUUACCAACAAGCAUUGGGGCAUCACUUAAUUGGUUCAACACUCAUCUUUUCUUUCUGCUGAAUAAACAUGUGACCAGCAUCUAAACAUCUAAUUUUAAUUUCACAAACACUAACCUAAUUCCUUGUGUACAAAUUAAAUAUAUGAUAGAGAACUUCAUAGGCAUGCAGUUGAAAGUAAAAUAUCCAAAAAGCAAUAGAGAAUACUAACACAGGGGAAUGUAAUCUGGAUGCCACAUAUUCAUCCAACUGUCAAAUUUAUUUAAUCCACACAACUCGAGCUUUGUUCUAAAUGAAAAUGGUCAAAAGGAUCAAUUUUCUCUGCUAGCACCAAGUGAUAAGAUUAAGAUCCAUCCAUAGGACUUGGAUUAUGGACUCCACAGAGUUUCAGUUUACUCAGUCCCACCAGCUGCCACUUCCAAUAGAUGCCCAUCUACUCAAUCUUACUAGGUGCCCAACUUAUUCCAGAGAACGUGACUAGGAAACAAGCUAAGAGCUUGAAAGCUAAAAACUUUUCAUUCGACAGUAAAACGACAUGAAACAGAGAAUAACCUAAUUCAAAUUCAACUUGCAACUAGUUAACACCUACCCAGCCAGAAUUAGCAAUUCACACGUGAAACACCUAAUCAAAUCCAAAAUAAACCCUAAUGAGCAAAAUACAGCAAAUUAAUCAAUAACAAAAACAGAGUAAUAGAGAAAAGAAAAUGAAACAUACGAGAAAAUGGGCGAGAUUGACAAUGGUCCAAGCCAUGCCAGGAGAGCAACCGAAAACAGAGAGAACGAUAAGCCAAGCGAAGAAUAGUAUCAGUAUAUACGUAGUCCAUACUCCUGGAUACGUGAACCACUCCGUGUUUCUGUUCAGAUCCGCCGGUGGCGUCGCCUUCACGUAUAGAUUCGCCAUCAUAUGAUUUCUCUUUUUUCUUUCUCAAAUUAUUAUUAUAAUAAUUUUUUGUAAACCCUAAGCAAUCUGCUUACCAGCUCUCUUCGAUUAGACGGUUCUGUUAUGGAGGUUUUUGGGUUCACGUUCUGAAAAAGAGAAAUUGAAUGACAGGUUUUUGGAUUCAGGUUCUAAUAAAGAGAAAUUGAAUGAUUUGAUGAUUUUUUGCUUUUUCCGGAGACCAAUCCAAAAAACCAAAUGGCCUCAAUGACGGUGAUGGCGUGGCGAUUUGUAAUGAAAGCUUAUAGCUAAUAUUGAUUACUUUCUA